GACAGCUUCAUCAAGCACGUAGGACUUUUUCUCUUGCUUGAGAACAAUUCUCAAGUUUCUAAACCAAUCAAUAAAAUUAGUCCCAUUUUCUUUCAGUUUAUCCUUCUCAAGGAUAGAUCGCAAUGAUAAGGUGGAAUUGUUAUUAGCAGCCAUAAUUAUCUACAAAAAUAUGCAAAUAUAAUUAAUUUAGUAAACAAAUUAAUAUUGAGGUGAUAAUAAUCUCCCACUAAAAUAUAACCCUCAAAAUAAUAAUAAUAUUUUAGUGGGCUAAGAUCCAUAUUUCACCUAGUUCUAAGUCAGCUUUGGCAUGACACUUAGAAUUAAG
Molecule: long non-coding RNA, 325 nt
Filed under: Manihot esculenta (cassava)
Lineage: Eukaryota; Viridiplantae; Streptophyta; Magnoliopsida; Malpighiales; Euphorbiaceae
Description: long non-coding RNA (MESC_LNC003883)
Source: RNAcentral